GUUUUAAUAGUUUAUAAAAACAAUAAUUUUGUAAAUUAUCAUUGGAUUACUCCUUAAAACU
This 61-nucleotide transfer RNA is filed under the name Sphaerotheriidae sp. HYS-2012. Its description in RNAcentral is "tRNA-Thr". Lineage: Eukaryota; Metazoa; Arthropoda; Diplopoda; Sphaerotheriida; Sphaerotheriidae. The record is from RNAcentral.